Molecule: long non-coding RNA, 211 nt
Filed under: Corvus moneduloides (New Caledonian crow)
Lineage: Eukaryota; Metazoa; Chordata; Aves; Passeriformes; Corvidae
Description: lncRNA (ENSCMUG00000019673.1)
Source: RNAcentral
AGUAAUUCCCUGCAUAUAUAAACCAGGCACUAAUGCAUACUACGGCAGAUUUCAAAGGCAGGAUCAUACCAUGUGGAAAGGUUUAAGGAACACUGGAAGCAUCUGCAUGGAUGGGGCUGGCAACCAGACAAAAAGACGGAGGGACCUCAGCACAGCUUUGUUUAGGACAGACUCCAACAUUUACAUUCUUCAGUAUUUUUGCCUUGAUUGA